AAUUGGAGGGCAAGUCUGGUGCCAGCAGCCGCGGUAAUUCCAGCUCCAAUAGCGUAUAUUAAAGUUGUUGCAGUUAAAAAGCUCGUAGUUGAAUUUCGGGAUUGACACAUCGGUCGUGCCUUAAGGGGUAUGAACUGGUGUAGUCAAUUUCUCACCUUCUGGAGAACCGCGAUGCCCUUAAUUGGGUGUCACGGGGAACCAGGACCUUUACUUUGAAAAAAUUAGAGUGUUUAAAGCAGGCAUUUUGCUUGAAUACAUUAGCAUGGAAUAAUAAAAUAGGACGGCAUGAUUCUAUUUUGUUGGUUUCUAGGAUCACCGUAAUGAUUAAUAGGGAUAGUUGGGGGCAUUAGUAUUCAAUUGUCAGAGGUGAAAUUCUUGGAUUUAUUGAAGACUAACUACUGCGAAAGCAUUUGCCAAGGAUGUUUUCAUUAAUCAAGAACGAGAGUUAGGGGAUCGAAGACGAUCAGAUACCGUCGUAGUCUUAACCAUAAACUAUGCCGACUAGGAAUCAGACGAUGUUAAUUUUUUAAUGACUCGUUUGGCACCUUACGGGAAACCAAAGUGU
RNAcentral lists this ribosomal RNA (565 nucleotides) under uncultured Glomus. RNAcentral describes it as "SSU rRNA". It matches the Rfam family "Eukaryotic small subunit ribosomal RNA", at positions 546 to 1106 of the family's 1831-position model. The record is from RNAcentral. Lineage: Eukaryota; Fungi; Glomeromycota; Glomeromycetes; Glomerales; Glomeraceae.